GAUGAACGCUGGCGGCGUGCCUAAUACAUGCAAGUCGAGCGAACAGACGAGGAGCUUGCUCCUCUGAUGUUAGCGGCGGACGGGUGAGUAACACGUGGAUAACCUACCUAUAAGACUGGGAUAACUUCGGGAAACCGGAGCUAAUACCGGAUAACAUUUUGAACCGCAUGGUUCAAUAGUGAAAGAUGGUCUUGCUGUCACUUAUAGAUGGAUCCGCGCCGGAUUAGCUAGUUGGUAAGGUAACGGCUUACCAAGGCAACGAUGCGUAGCCGACCUGAGAGGGGGGUCGGCCAACCUGGAACUGAGACACCGUCCCGACUCCUAAGGGAGGCAGGCGGAGGGAAACUUCCGGAAUGGGGGGAAGCCUGACCGAGCAAACGCGGGGGAGGUGAAGAAGUCCUUGGAUCGGUAAACCUCUGUAAUAGGGAAAAACCAAAGGGGAAGGUAACGAUGACGGCCUGAAGGUAACUAAACAGGAAGGCCCGGCUAAAUUAGGU
This 497-nucleotide ribosomal RNA is filed under the name uncultured bacterium. Its description in RNAcentral is "partial 16S ribosomal RNA". It matches the Rfam family "Bacterial small subunit ribosomal RNA", at positions 28 to 507 of the family's 1533-position model. The record is from RNAcentral.